This 288-nucleotide ribosomal RNA is filed under the name uncultured Sphingobacteriales bacterium. RNAcentral's name for it is "partial 16S ribosomal RNA". It matches the Rfam family "Bacterial small subunit ribosomal RNA", at positions 1097 to 1382 of the family's 1533-position model. The record is from RNAcentral. Lineage: Bacteria; Pseudomonadati; Bacteroidota; Sphingobacteriia; Sphingobacteriales.
CGCAACCCUUACUGUUAGUUGCCAGCGGGUCGAAGCCGGGAACGUCUAACGGGACUGCACCGUAAGGUGAGAGGAGGGUGGGGGAUGACGUCAAAUCAGCACGGCCCUUAUGUCCAGGGCUACACACGUGUUACAAUGGUCGGUACAAAGGGCAGCUACACCGCGAGGUGAUGCUAAUCUCUAAAGCCGGUCUCAGUUCGGAUCGAAGUCUGCAACCCGACUUCGUGAAGUUGGAUUCGCUAGUAAUCGCGCAUCAGCCAUGGCGCGGUGAAUACGUUCCCGGGCCUU